Long non-coding RNA from Nematostella vectensis (starlet sea anemone), 2839 nucleotides. RefSeq lists it as uncharacterized. Lineage: Eukaryota; Metazoa; Cnidaria; Anthozoa; Actiniaria; Edwardsiidae. The transcript has 3 exons. The record is from RefSeq and is a predicted model, not a curated record.
UCAAACUUGGGAUGUGGUAAUCUGUUUUUUGUCAGGUUUACCAUUUCCGAGCCAAAUUUGUGGUCCUGUUCGGAUUCCUGAUCGAACACAAGCACAGUUUUGCCAGGCAGAUUCGCCGGCAAGUAAAAUACAAAAGUUCUCAUAAAAUAGCAAAACAACCGGCGUUUCUGCUCUUUGUUGCUCGUCAGACGUAGAAAAACCGUAACGUUAUGAUUCAGCAUCUUCGUGGUGGUAGCUAUAGGGGUUUGAUUCAGUGGAAGCAUACCGCCAAAAACCGAAAGCUCUUUAGUGAAAGUGUAGGCAUUAUCUUGGCUCGAUAGAAAUAUUAGUAUAUACAGUGAUGAUGUCCCUGCACAAAUGAUUAUAAAGCUUUUGAUAGUGAGAAUCCACAUGCUUGAUUUACAUGUGAUAUUCUUCAACGUAUUUCUGUCCGUUUUCAAUGCGACUUAGAAAGCCAGUGCGCACGCGCGCAACGUCGAAUUUUAAAAUGUCUUAAUUUUUUUCUCGAUACCUAGACCGGUUCAACUCCAAAUGAUGCAUAACGUUGCAAAUCAAUGUUUAGAAGUCGGAUGGGCCCUCUAUUUCUGAUACCCCUCUGUCGUCCUAUUCAUAUUGUCGCGUUCCUCUUAUGUUAUUAGUAGUAUAGUACUUGGCGGCUCCAGCGCAUCCCGUGGGAAUGCGCUCGAACCAAGCCAAGUCUAUACUACUCACCAGCGUAUGGUUUCAUAUUUUGGUAUGAUAUAAGGUAUAUUUUGGUGUGACUAUAUGUUAUCAUAUUUUGGUAUGACUAUAAGGUAUAUUUUGGUGUGAUCAUAUGAAAAAAGAUUUUGAUGAAACUAUAUGUUAUAAUUUUUUGGUGAAACUAUAUGUUAUAGAUUUUUGGUGAAACUAUAUGUUAUAGAUUUUUGGUGAAACUAUAUGUUAUGGAUUUUUGGUGAAACUAUAUAAUUUUUAGUGUCAGCUUAUGAAUAAAUUACUGGAGUCGCAGCACGACGUCAUUUAUCGGGGUUCGGUGUGGGAUGACAACACUAUAUGGUAUCAUAUUGUGGUGAGACUAUAUGAUACAAGUUUUUGGUGUCAGCUUAUGAAUAAACUGGAACUAUAUGCUUUCUUCAUUUCGUGGAAUUCGUGCGGUGUGUGCUGGUUUCAUUUUAUGAUACAAUCCUAUGGUUACGGCUGCUGCGUGACAUUCCUGGAGUUUUAAUUCUUAGGAGCGAGUCAGGGGAUUCCCCGCUGGCGAGUCUGGGCAUGCCUAUUGCAUUUAAGGACUUUUUCGCUGACAAAGUGGAAUGUUCUAGACGUGCUGUGUCAUGACUCCACGUAAAAAUAUAGUCUCUUGUAUUAGCAUAUAGAAUGGUUUGUGAUAAAGGGAUCCAUAUGGCAUUAGUGGAAGAGGGAUAUUACGAUUUUCCAUUUUGUGAUCUAAGGAUAGCGGAGUACGUGACUAAGGGAGAUUCGGCAAGGUUCGAGACAUUUUGUGGUAGGCAGGAUAUGGUAAAUGACAAUGGAGCUAAUGUAUGAAAAAAUUGUUGUGUUCACCAUGGAUACGACUAUGCCGUCGAGUGGUUUGAUUUUUACGAGAAUAUGUACAGGAUACGUAGAAAGUCAUUGUACCAUCGGAAGUAUUAUUUAGAAAAUGUGUUGUUUGAUUUUGACUUAGAAGGGAAUAAGCAUGACCUACUCAGGAGGUUCGAGCAAGUUGAGACGGGUAUGAAUAAAUUAUUUACUAGAAAACGAUAUAUUCAGAUGAAGUUCGUUCUCUACAAAUUGUUUCAAUUGAAAUAUGAGAAGCAGAGUAUGAGACAAUGCAUAAAAUAUAUCAGUCCUAGGACACAGAGAUAUUAUAAGAAGUUGUGGAAGCAGGUUUGUGAUCAUCUAGGAUGGACGUACAUUCAUGGUAGUGAGUUUAUAACUAGACGUGUGGAGACGGUGAUCACCAUCUUUCUCUAGAGAUAUGUAUAUGCUUCUGGUAUAUGCUUAGGGUCUUAUUAUAAUAGAACCUUAUGCUAACGUUUUGUUUAGUUUGUCUCUCAUUUCUAGCAUUUCUAUCUGUUCUUGGAUAUGGUCCUUGCUUUUUUUCCCUCUCAACUGAGGUGAGUGUUUAUAUACCUUUUCCCGUAUCGACUCUCUCAUUUCAUUAUAUUUUUCAGCCUCUUUGAUAAUGAGAUUGAAUUCGUCUGAGGAUAUUUGGUUGUCGGUCAAUGCUUUGCUAAUAAGGCUGCACAAUACAGUUAAGGCUGAAUGUUCCCUUAAAAGUAAACUCCCUGUGGUUGAUUUAUUAUCGUCUCACAAAGAGCCCAUCAAAGCGCCACCAGUUUAUCAAGUUUCUCAAUACCAAAGAUGUGACAUAAACGGUACUGGGACAAAGGGGUGUGGAGUCAAGUCAGAGAAAGAACCCUGUUUGGGUUCUACUCACCGAACUAUUGGACCAAUUUGUUGACGUGGCAGCCGAGUCAGUCCUACAAUGGGAGGAUUGUGAGGGUGCCAAUUCGCUGCAAUGGAACAAACGACAAGACCCUAGCAAGUUGUAUUGUUUUAUAGAUUAAAGGAACUCUAUCAUGUAAAAUUUUUUCCAGUUAUAAAAAUACCCUAGUAGAAACACAAAUGCCUAACCCCAUUAUAUUUUUUGUGUUCAUUUACUCUGCAUUUGUUUUUGUUACAGAUGACAUAUUCUUAUCAACAACAGUAGCACCUACCACUACUGAGACACCAAAAACCACUAAAGCACCCAAAACACCUAUAACAAUACCCAAAACUAGUACUAAUAGACCACAAACAUCAACCAUAACUGCCAAAAUUACAACAGAAUCAACCACUGCAACUCAAGCAACCACAAAAA